GGACACGGACGGAGGGGACACAGGGGGACACGGUUGUGACAGGGGGGACACGGUCACGGAGGUUGGGCAUGGAGGGCCGUGGACAUGAAGGGGUGGACAUGGGACGCAGAGGGACACGGAUGUGACACGGGGGACACGGACGUGAGGGGGUGGGCACGGAGGGACAUGGAUGUGCGUGGGACACAGAAAGGGGUGGGCACCCAGGGAUUCGGACGUGAGGGGCAUCAUCGACAGGAGAGGGGACACAUGGGGGGACACGGGCACGAGGGGGUGACUUAAAGGGGCAGUGACACGAGGGGUUGGACACGGAGGUCACAGAGGGACACAGAUGGGAGAGGGUGGACGUGGAUGGACGCGGUCACGUGGGGGUGGACACGGACACAGGGGACACAGAAGGACACCAAUGACAGGGUGGACACGGACACGAGGGGGUGGACACAUGCGAGGGGAUGGACGUACAGGGACACGGACACGAGGGGGGACACGGACACAAGGGAGGGACACGGACACGAGGGGGGACACGGACGGGAGGGAGGGGACAUGGAGGGACACGGACGUGAGUGUGCACGGACAUUCACAUGCGGGGACGGACACACGGACACGGAUAUGGGUGGGUGGACAUGGAAGGACUUGGACACCAGGGGGCGAACACGGACACGGUGGGACAGAGGGACACAGAGGGACACGGGGGGGACACAGAGGGACACGGGGGGACACGACGGGGACACAGCAGGGGUGGGCACAAAGGGGCUUGGAAACGAGGAGUGGACAAAACCAUGGUGGACUCGGUGCACGUGGGACACCGACACGAGUGGCAGCCACGGGGAGGACACGGCCACGGGAGGGACACCAGGAUGGGGACACCCAGGGGACAGGGACACCCAUCCACGCACAGAGCCCCCCAACCACCCAGCCCUGGGGUCCCUUCACAUGCGGGGGGGGGGUCCCCGUGCUGCCAGUGGGGGGGUCUGUGUGCCCACGUGUGCCCCCCAGCCCUCGGAUGCUCCCAGGGCACCGGGGACCCCCAGCCGGUGCUGGGGGGAUGUUCAGAACCCCAGGAAAGGAUUAGAGGGGGGUCCGACGGGGCCAGGGGGUGCUGAGUUGGGGGGUGCUGCCCCCCUGCCCCCCCUCCGGGGCCGGCUACGCCCUAACGGGGUGACACGGAGCCGCCGGACCCGCCCGUUCCUCUUCCCCGCACCAGCAGCAGCGGCCGGAGCGCAGGCGAGUCGGGGGGGCUGGGGCUGGGGAGGAGGGGGCAGGA
RNAcentral lists this long non-coding RNA (1261 nucleotides) under Lepidothrix coronata (blue-crowned manakin). Its description in RNAcentral is "lncRNA (ENSLCOG00000007759.1)". The record is from RNAcentral. Lineage: Eukaryota; Metazoa; Chordata; Aves; Passeriformes; Pipridae.